UUAUUUUUUUUUUUUCCUUGACAGACUGGGGUGCAGCUGAUGAAGAUGCAGAAGAUGUGAAUGUGUGGGAGGACAACUGGGAUGACGACAACAUUGAGGAUGACUUUUCCCAGCAACUGAGAGCUGAGUUGAACAUCCAGCCAAUGCCACAGUAGUCCUGUGCGUCUAUACUGUAUGAGAGGAGAUGUGUGUAUUUUGUGUGAUUUUCAGUUAGGAUUUCUGCUAAUUUGUCAACACUGCUUAAAGGUGUAUUGUAUUAUCUAUGAAUAAAUGGUUUUAUAGAUAA
Long non-coding RNA from Penaeus indicus, 286 nucleotides. RefSeq lists it as uncharacterized. The record is from RefSeq and is a predicted model, not a curated record. Lineage: Eukaryota; Metazoa; Arthropoda; Malacostraca; Decapoda; Penaeidae. The transcript has 2 exons.